This 468-nucleotide ribosomal RNA is filed under the name uncultured bacterium. RNAcentral's name for it is "partial 16S ribosomal RNA". It matches the Rfam family "Bacterial small subunit ribosomal RNA", at positions 28 to 507 of the family's 1533-position model. The record is from RNAcentral.
GACGAACGCUGGCGGCGUGCUUAACACAUGCAAGUCGAACGGAAAGGCCCUGAUUUUGUGGGGUGCUCGAGUGGCGAACGGGUGAGUAACACGUGAGUAACCUGCCCUUGACUUUGGGAUAACUUCAGGAAACUGGGGCUAAUACCGGAUAGGAGCUCCUGCUGCAUGGUGGGGGUUGGAACGUUUCGGCGGUUGGGGAUGGACUCGCGGCUUAUCAGCUUGUUGGUGGGGUAGUGGCUUACCGAGGCUUUGACGGGUAGACGGCCUGAGAGGGUGACCAGCGGCAUGACUACUGAGAGACGCACCAGAGUCGUACUGGGAACAGCAGUGAGGAAUAUUGCACAAUGGUCGGAAGCCUGAUGCAGCAACUCCACGUGCGGGAUGACGGCCUUCGGGUUGUAAACCGCUUUCGCCUGAGACGACGCGGUAGUAACGGUAAUCGGUAAAGAAGCACCGGCUAACUACGUG